GGGGUGAGAUCCUGGGUUGGAUUUUCCGUGGAUUCCAUCCUGCAGCUCGGGCAAACAAGGCCCUCCCUUGGAGCACACUCACUCUUAGACCGCUUGCCUGGCACGGAGCUGGGAAUCAAUUCCUGGGCAUGUUCUUUCCUUAUAUCACUGUGCCCAGAACUGUAGGAGCCACUGACAGAUGUCACUACACUCUGCAGGGAUCUCUAUACCAGCACUUCCCAAAGACCACCAGUGCCCCAGCUGGGAGGACCACGGAGAACUCAACUGAUGUGACAGCACUGUGUCCUGGGCAGAACUGCUAAGACCUCUGUUCCUUUAUGCCAUGCCAGCUCACAGGAUUUGACAGCUAGUUCUGCCUUCUGUUGGCUGAGGAACCAACCGUGAGUUCCUCUGAAGUUCAGUAUCCGUCUCCCAAAUAGAGGCAGCUAUAACCGCUUCCUGGCCGAAUGAAAAGACUCAAUUAUACCACGUGAAAUGUCAAGCAUACUGCAUGGUACACAGCUGGUGCUCCACAACUAAACAUCCUCUCUUUACUAAAUAUAUUCAAAACAAUCACAGACAGGAGGCCGGAAUGGCAGAUCAGCUGAAUUACCAAGGUUGCACAGGGGACCCACCCCCCACACGAUCACAACCAGCCGAGCGUCACUCUUCAGAUGGACGGCAGAGGUGUGCAAGAUGUGCUCCUGCCCGUGAGGAACUGAGGGAUCAACUGAGGUCAUAAAAUCUGAGACGGUGACAUAAAAGAAACUUGAUCUCGAAGAGUUCACAGGAGAGGCAUCCACAGAUUCUCCUGGAGGUCACUGUCAGGG
Microtus ochrogaster (prairie vole) is the source of this 809-nucleotide long non-coding RNA. RefSeq lists it as uncharacterized. Lineage: Eukaryota; Metazoa; Chordata; Mammalia; Rodentia; Cricetidae. The record is from RefSeq and is a predicted model, not a curated record. The transcript has 3 exons.